Callithrix jacchus (white-tufted-ear marmoset) is the source of this 2372-nucleotide non-coding RNA. The record is from RefSeq and is a predicted model, not a curated record. Lineage: Eukaryota; Metazoa; Chordata; Mammalia; Primates; Cebidae.
UGCUCCCACCUCACUGGCCCCAGGGGCUGCUCCCGGCCCAGUUUCCAGCCCGGUUCCCUCCUGUGCCCGGCCACCUGCCUUUCACAGAGUCAAUAUUGACGCCUGAGAGGCCUCCCGCUCAGGCGAGUGAGGGCCGAGGGGGUGGAGGCGUGGGGAGAGGCAAACAGCUCCUGGAUUUUCAACUCAAUUGCUGCGAGGAGAGAUGAGAAAUUGCCUUUCUGACCCAAACCCGGAGUUCACAGCUGCACUUCAUUACCGAUUUCUCCAGGAGGCCCUGGGAGAGGCUGGGCUCCGGAAGGGCUCACCUGUUAGCAGCAGCUGCCGCCUGCCUCUUUCAUAAACACGUUGGUGGUUUCCUGCCCAGGGUUGCAGGGCCGGGGACGUGGGCGGCGUGGGGCGGGCUGCCAGCUGUGCCCCCGGAGCCCCCCCGCCAUCGCUCCUGCCAGUUUGCAUUAACUUGGCAGAUGGAGGGAGGAAGAGACGCCAGAUAAGUGUGCAGGAGGGAGAGGAAAUGGCCACAGGUCUGGGUCGGCUCUGCUCGCGUUAGAAGGGGCCAGAAGUCUCUACUGCUGCAUACCUGCGUGAUCCUGUAAGCCCAGAGCCCCACAGAGCCUCGGUGGCCUCAUCUGACCGGGUACUGGCAGCACAGAGAGGUUAGGACACCUGCCUGAAGACACACAGCGACCAGGUGUCGGUACAGGGAUGUGAAGUCAUCAGCCUGACCCCAUCAAGCUGCAAGGGGGGGCCCCAGCAGAAAUCCCACAAGUGCAGCAUGGCCGCAGGGGCCAAUGGGAGCAGGCCGGCCACCCACCGGGGCGUCCGUGGGGAGCUCUCUCGCGCCAGGGGAGGGCUGCUGCUGCUGGCGUGCUCCCCGAGAGGCCAGGCCUUGCAAGAGAAGCAGAAAUCUGUCGUUAACACCGUGCCAAACCCGAAGUGGCUGCUCCCAGACUGCAAUCCAAUAAAGCGCGGCUUGUCUGUUUAUCAUCCUCGGGGCUUUUCAUCGCAGUGCAGAUGGCUGCUACCUUCGGAAGGCUCAGCAGCUCGCUGCCAGCCGCCCGCCACGCAAAGCUUAGCUCAACAGAAUCUGGGCCUGCACCUGUGAGGGGCCUGGGGACCGGCUGCCCCCAGCCUUGCCGUGCACGGCCGCCAGCGAGCACACUCAGGCGGUCCAGCCCAUCUCUCCUGGGCCUCUCCCUGCCAUGCCCAGGGCCUGUUUCCUUUGCGGAGGGGGGUCGCCUGAACGGUGAGCAGCACGCCGGCCCCUGCCCUGUGCUAGCCCCAGUGGCGGCCACACCUGGUGUCAGACCCUACCCCAUGUGGCAGCUGCUGCUGAGAGGGGAGAACAAGCAGCAAGGGACCCCAUGGGGGGGUUCAGGUGCACGGCACCACAAUGCCCAGUGCCAGGCAGCUCAGAACACGGGGGCCCUGUGGGGUGCCACCAGCAAUUCAGGCUGGAAGGAAGAUACAACCAGGGAAGAUCAAGGGCAAGGCGUGCACAAGAGACAGCCCCGCUCCCCUGCCUGAGUGCGGUGGGAAACCCAAGGCAUGAAAAGCCUCACCUGCUGCGGAGCUGGCGGCACACCUGGGCCUCCUGUGACAAUGGUCAGCGAUGCCCAGCUGCUGCUCCCACGCUGGAAACACUCACUUGGAGGCAGGAGGUGGGGGAGGCACAGCCAGCGCCGCCGAAGGGGGCACGGGAGGGACACCGCAGGGUCAGCAAUGCCCAGCUUCUGCUCCCACGCUGGAAACACUCACUUGGAGGCAGGAGGGGGUGGCGAAGGGCAAGUUGGGGCCGGGACCCAGCACAGAGCUGGCACGAGAGGUCAGGCCUGUGCCAGGUGCUGGCUCCUACCCUGCCGGUCGGUCACAGGAGGCAGCUUUUCUAGCCACAUGGAGCCUGGCUGUAGCGUGUGCGUACAUAUGCAUGUGUGCACCAGUGUGUGGAGGGCUGGAGGAUUUACCCCAACUGGCCGGCAGAGGUCCUGGGGAUGGCUGCAACCAGCUACUGGGGCACGGCCAAGCUGGCAGGCCAUGACCUUUGCCCUCUGGACUAUAACGCAGGAAACGGAACACCCAAGAAGCCCCUGUUCAGGGUUCCCCAGGCUGUCCCAUGUCACCUCUCCAACUAAACCAGACUUGACAGCUCUCUAUGCCAGCGGCCUCCUGCGUCCUUCCUGCCAUCUCUCUCACCUCCCUGGACACGGCCCCUCACGGCCUUUCGAGACUCUGUCCCCUGGUCACCUUUGCUUAUGCCCUUCAGGCUGCCUAGAAAGCAACCCCAGGCUGGGCACGGUGGCUCACGCCUGUCAUCUCAACACUUUGGGAGGCUGAGGCAGGCGGAUCACGAGGUCAAGAGAUGGAGACCAUCCUGU